This 465-nucleotide ribosomal RNA is filed under the name uncultured bacterium. RNAcentral's name for it is "partial 16S ribosomal RNA". It matches the Rfam family "Bacterial small subunit ribosomal RNA", at positions 28 to 507 of the family's 1533-position model. The record is from RNAcentral.
GACGAACGCUGGCGGCGUGCUUAACACAUGCAAGUCGAACGGAAAGGCCCUGCUUGCAGGGUACUCGAGUGGCGAACGGGUGAGUAACACGUGGGUGAUCUGCCCUGCACUUCGGGAUAAGCCUGGGAAACUGGGUCUAAUACCGGAUAGGAGCCAUUUUUAGUGUGAUGGUUGGAAAGUUUUUUCGGUGUAGGAUGAGCUCGCGGCCUAUCAGCUUGUUGGUGGGGUAAUGGCCUACCAAGGCGGCGACGGGUAGCCGGCCUGAGAGGGUGGACGGCCACAUUGGGACUGAGAGACGGCCCAGACUCCUACGGGAGGCAGCAGGGGGGAAUAUUGCACAAUGGGCGCAAGCCUGAUGCAGCGACGCCGCGUGGGGGAUGACGGCCUUAGGGUUGUAAACUCCUUUCGCUAGGGACGAAGCUUUUUGUGACGGUACCUAGAUAAGAAGCACCGGCUAACUACGUG